AGGGCUGUAGCUCAGUGGUAGAGCACUUGCUUAGCAUCAUGAGGUCCCGGGUUCAAUUCCCAGCACUG
Molecule: non-coding RNA, 68 nt
Organism: Ictidomys tridecemlineatus (thirteen-lined ground squirrel)
Lineage: Eukaryota; Metazoa; Chordata; Mammalia; Rodentia; Sciuridae
Source: Rfam